RNAcentral lists this long non-coding RNA (1022 nucleotides) under Strigops habroptila (Kakapo). Its description in RNAcentral is "lncRNA (ENSSHBG00005020191.1)". Lineage: Eukaryota; Metazoa; Chordata; Aves; Psittaciformes; Psittacidae. The record is from RNAcentral.
UUAAGAUUUUGUUUGAUUUUAAUCAUAUUGUUUGAGAACUCUAAAAGAGGAAAUGCCAGUUCCAAGUAUAAAUGAACAAACUAAAGACCAGUUCGUUUUAUGGAGACAGAGAGGGGGAGGUCUAAUAAGCAGGAUAUCUCCCACCAGGAGGCUGCAAAGCUGCAUCUCCCUCUUUCAAAUGUAUAGUGAAAGUUCAAAUGAGAAAAGGAGUCUUCUAGAUAUUACACCUGCUGCCUGCUUUACUAGUUAGAAAAUAGCUAUCCAAAUAAGAAGAAAAUGCAGAAACUUGUUUACAGCAUCAGUAUCUCCUAGAUAAUUAUUUUCUUGUUAUAUUUUAAACACAUGUAUCAUCCAUAAGAAAUUCAAUUGUCAUAUUGUGCAUAUUCAGUCAUGCACAUACAAAGUAGAAGUGAAAGACCUGACUGUUUAUUUUCAGUGAAUUUUUCUUUUACAGUUUACUGUAACUGGAGGUAGAUGUAAUAUUUAGGGAUUUUCUUCCAGUGAUUUGAAAUAAUAGUUGUCUGUGAACAUUAGGACAGAGUACUAAUACUGGAAUCAGUGGUUAAAAGUUAAGCCUACAUAAACAUGCAAAUAAAACAACAAAAAAUAAAUCACAGCAGGUUAUAUGAUGAUUGUCGGUACAGUACAGUACAGAUCUUGGAGGAAAGUCUGUUUCUGUGCUGUCAAAAUAGUAAUGCAAGUACUGCAAAAAAAUAUGUAUACUACUUGAAAAGAUAUACAAGAUUCUGAGUAUUACAACUAUGCCAUUCAUAUUAUUUCUCAUGUAUCUCAAACCAUCAAGUUGAAGGGAAUUACAGGGCAAAAGAGUCUGUAAUCUGCUAUGCAUUAAUAAUAUUUCUGAUCCUGCAGGCAGGAGUUUCAUUUCAUAUAACUGUAUGAAAACGGAUGCUGCCAUUGUCAGGACUUUCGCCGUAACCAAGUAUAUCAGCCUCACUUUCAGAGUUGUUAAAUUCGUCCUUUUUAGUAGAUGCCUUUGUGGCAGUAAUGGAAGCUCCCAGCAA